GAUGAACGCUGGCGGCGUGCCUAAUACAUGCAAGUCGAACGAAACUUCUUUAUCACCGAGUGCUUGCACUCACCGAUAAAGAGUUGAGUGGCGAACGGGUGAGUAACACGUGGGCAACCUGCCCAAAAGAGGGGGAUAACACUUGGAAACAGGUGCUAAUACCGCAUAACCAUAGUUACCGCAUGGUAACUAUGUAAAAGGUGGCUAUACUACCGCUUUUGGAUGGGCCCGCGGCGCAUUAGCUAGUUGGUAGGGUAAAGGCUUACCAAGGCAAUGAUGCGUAGCCGAAUUGAGAGGUUGAUCGGCCACAUUGGGACUGAGACACGGCCCAAACUCCUACGGGAGGCAGCAGUAGGGAAUCUUCCACAAUGGGCGAAAGCCUGAUGGAGCAACGCCGCGUGGGCGAAGAAGGUCUGCGGAUCGUAAAACCCUGUUGUUAGAGAAGAAAGUGCGUGAGAGUAACGGUUCACGUUUCGACGGUAUCUAACCAGAAAGCCACGGCUAACUACGU
RNAcentral lists this ribosomal RNA (511 nucleotides) under uncultured bacterium. Its description in RNAcentral is "partial 16S ribosomal RNA". It matches the Rfam family "Bacterial small subunit ribosomal RNA", at positions 28 to 506 of the family's 1533-position model. The record is from RNAcentral.